Molecule: ribosomal RNA, 401 nt
Filed under: uncultured bacterium
Lineage: Bacteria
Description: bacterial SSU rRNA
Rfam family: Bacterial small subunit ribosomal RNA
Source: RNAcentral
UAGGAAUCUUGCGCAAUGGACGAAAGUCUGACGCAGCGACGCCGCGUGCGGGAUGAAGGCCCUCGGGUUGUAAACCGCUUUCAGUGGGGAAGAAAAUGACGGUACCCACAGAAGAAGCCCCGGCCAACUACGUGCCAGCAGCCGCGGUAAUACGUAGGGGGCGAGCGUUGUCCGGAAUUACUGGGCGUAAAGAGCUCGUAGGCGGUUAGGAAAGUCGAAAGUGAAAUCUCUGUGCUCAACACAGAGCGGUCUUUUGAUACUUCCUUGACUAGAGUUCGGUAGAGGAGUGUGGAAUUCCCAGUGUAGCGGUGAAAUGCGCAGAUAUUGGGAGGAACACCAACAGCGAAGGCAGCACUCUGGGCCGAUACUGACGCUGAGGAGCGAAAGCGUGGGUAGCAAAC